RNAcentral lists this ribosomal RNA (484 nucleotides) under uncultured bacterium. RNAcentral describes it as "partial 16S ribosomal RNA". It matches the Rfam family "Bacterial small subunit ribosomal RNA", at positions 29 to 507 of the family's 1533-position model. The record is from RNAcentral.
AUUGGACGCUGGCGGAAUGCUUUACACAUGCAAGUCGAACGGCAGCACGGGGGCAGCCCUGGUGGCGAGUGGCGAACGGGUGAGUAAUACAUCGGAACGUGCCCGGUCGUGGGGGAUAACGUAGCGAAAGUUACGCUAAUACCGCAUACGAUCAGAGGAUGAAAGCGGGGGACCUUCGGGCCUCGCGCGAUCGGAGCGGCCGAUGUCAGAUUAGGUAGUUGGUGGGGUAAAGGCCUACCAAGCCGACGAUCUGUAGCUGGUCUGAGAGGACGACCAGCCACACUGGGACUGAGACACGGCCCAGACUCCUACGGGAGGCAGCAGUGGGGAAUUUUGGACAAUGGGCGCAAGCCUGAUCCAGCCAUUCCGCGUGCAGGACGAAGGCCUUCGGGUUGUAAACUGCUUUUGUACGGAACGAAAAGGCUCUGGCUAAUACCUGGGGCUCAUGACGGUACCGUAAGAAUAAGCACCGGCUAACUACGUG